UACCUGGUUGAUCCUGCCAGUAGUCAUAUGCUUGUCUCAAAGAUUAAGCCAUGCAUGUCUAAGUAUAAAUCGUUUAUACAGGUGAAACUGCGAAUGGCUCAUUAAAUCAGUUAUAAUUUAUUUGAUAGUACCUUACUACUUGGAUAACCGUGGUAAUUCUAGAGCUAAUACAUGCUAAAACCUCCGACUUCUGGAAGGGGGUGUAUUUAUUAGAUAAAAAACCAAUAUCGGGCAACCGAUUCCCUUGGUGAUUCAUAAUAACUUUUCGAAUCGUAUGACUUUACGUCGACGAUGAAUCAUUCAAAUUUCUGCCCUAUCAACUUUC
Molecule: non-coding RNA, 325 nt
Filed under: Rhizophagus irregularis DAOM 197198w
Lineage: Eukaryota; Fungi; Glomeromycota; Glomeromycetes; Glomerales; Glomeraceae
Description: Eukaryotic small subunit ribosomal RNA
Rfam family: Eukaryotic small subunit ribosomal RNA
Source: Rfam by way of RNAcentral